This 107-nucleotide unclassified non-coding RNA is filed under the name Chryseobacterium piscicola. Its description in RNAcentral is "Flavo-1 RNA". Lineage: Bacteria; Pseudomonadati; Bacteroidota; Flavobacteriia; Flavobacteriales; Weeksellaceae. The record is from RNAcentral.
CUUGCGCCCCGACUUGAACGGAGCUCUUUUUGUUUUUUUUGGUUCUCCCUUUAGGGAGUUAGAGGGUGAAAAAAACAAAAAAGCGGGAGUGGAAGGCGGAAAUAGGC